Molecule: ribosomal RNA, 460 nt
Filed under: uncultured bacterium
Lineage: Bacteria
Description: partial 16S ribosomal RNA
Rfam family: Bacterial small subunit ribosomal RNA
Source: RNAcentral
CCUACGGGUGGCAGCAGUGAGGAAUAUUGGUCAAUGGGCGCGAGCCUGAACCAGCCAAGUAGCGUGAAGGAUGACUGCCCUACGGUUUGUAAACUUCUUUUAUAAAGGAAUAAAGUGAGGCACGUGUGCCUUUUUGUAUGUACUUUAUGAAUAAGGAUCGGCUAACUCCGUGCCAGCAGCCGCGGUAAUACGGAGGAUCCGAGCGUUGUCCGGAUUUAUUGGGUUUAAAGGGAGCGUAGAUGGGUUGUUAAGUCAGUUGUGAAAGUUUGCGGCUCAACCGUAAUAUUGCAAUUGAUACUGGCAGACUUGAGUACAGUAGAGGUAGGCGGAAUUCGUGGUGUAGCGGUGAAAUGCGUAGAUAUCACGAAGAACACCAGUGGCGAAGGCAGCUUACUAGACUGCCACUGACGUUGAGGCUCGAAAGUGUGGGUAUCAAACAGGAUUAGAUACCCGGGUAGUC